Non-coding RNA from Brachypodium distachyon (stiff brome), 136 nucleotides. The record is from Rfam. Lineage: Eukaryota; Viridiplantae; Streptophyta; Magnoliopsida; Poales; Poaceae.
UUUAUGCUCCCUCCGUCUGGAUAUAAGUGACUUGGAUUUGUCUAAAUUCAUAUGUAUCUAGGCGUGUUUUAGUGUAUAGAAACAUGUGGAUUUAGAUAAAUUCAGGUCACUUAUUUCCGGACGGAGGGAGUACCAA